GAGGGUGUAGCUCAGUGGUAGAGCACGUGCUUAGCAUGCACAAGGUCCUGGGUUCAAUCCCCAGUAUCUCCA
RNAcentral lists this transfer RNA (72 nucleotides) under Camelus bactrianus (Bactrian camel). It matches the Rfam family "tRNA". From Rfam's summary of the family: Transfer RNA (tRNA) molecules are approximately 80 nucleotides in length. Their secondary structure includes four short double-helical elements and three loops (D, anti-codon, and T loops). The record is from Rfam by way of RNAcentral. RNAcentral also lists the same sequence under 2 other names. Lineage: Eukaryota; Metazoa; Chordata; Mammalia; Artiodactyla; Camelidae.